CCAGACGGUUGCGUACAGCUUGCUGUAUGAGGAAAGUCCGAGCAGCGCAGAGCAGGAUAACGGCUAACGGCCGCCAAGGGUGACCUUCGGGACAGUGCAACAGAAAUAAACCGCCUGACUCGUUCAGGCAAGGGUGGAAAGGCGAGGUAAGAGCUCACCGAGCGGGUGGUAACAUCCGCUGCCAUGUAAACCCUAUCCGCUGCAACACCGACCGGGGAGUUGUCUGCUCGACACAUAACCCCGACGGGUGGCUUGAGCGUGGUGGUAACAUCACGUCGAGAUAGAUAACCGUCCACGACAGAACUCGGCUUACGGGUAA
This 319-nucleotide RNase P RNA is filed under the name uncultured Eubacterium sp. Its description in RNAcentral is "Bacterial RNase P class A". It matches the Rfam family "Bacterial RNase P class A". From Rfam's summary of the family: Ribonuclease P (RNase P) is a ubiquitous endoribonuclease, found in archaea, bacteria and eukarya as well as chloroplasts and mitochondria. Its best characterised activity is the generation of mature 5'-ends of tRNAs by cleaving the 5'-leader elements of precursor-tRNAs. Lineage: Bacteria; Bacillati; Bacillota; Clostridia; Eubacteriales; Eubacteriaceae. The record is from RNAcentral.